Molecule: transfer RNA, 53 nt
Filed under: Dermatophagoides farinae (American house dust mite)
Lineage: Eukaryota; Metazoa; Arthropoda; Arachnida; Sarcoptiformes; Pyroglyphidae
Description: tRNA-Ile
Source: RNAcentral
UAGGCUCAACCAAAAAGGAUUUACCUUGAUAGGGUAAAAAUUAAAAAGCCUAA